Molecule: small RNA, 333 nt
Filed under: Arabidopsis thaliana (thale cress)
Lineage: Eukaryota; Viridiplantae; Streptophyta; Magnoliopsida; Brassicales; Brassicaceae
Description: ATSL211450
Source: RNAcentral
UCAUUUUUUUGGCGGGAUUUUUCUUUUUGGUGGGAAAAAAGUUUGCCAGAAAAUUUUUUUGGCGAGAAAAAUAAAUUUUUGGUGCAAAAAUUUGGUGGGAAAAUUUCAGUUUCUAAUUACAUGUUCCUAUUAGAUGAGGAUAAUUUGGUCAUUCUGUUCAAGGGAAAUGGUAUUUUUAAAAAAGGACAACAUAAAAAGAUAUUGUUGCAAAAGGGUAGUAAAAAAAGAGUAGUUUUGCAAAUCUCCCAAAAUUCUGUAAGGGUUUAGGUUUAAUAUUAUUUAAUUAUAAUUAUAUUGCUUCCUUUUUUAUAAGUUUAAAUUUAAUAUUUGUUA